CUUAGUCGUGUGUACAUCAUUGGGAAUGGAGGGAAAUAAAUGACUGGAUGGUCGCUGCUUUUUAAGUUUCAAAUUGACAUUCCAGACAAGCGGUGCCUGAGCCCGUGCCUGUCUUCAGAUCUUCACAGCACAGUUCCUGGGAAGGUGGAGCCACCAGCCUCUCCCUGGCUCUGCCGACUUCCAGUUCUGGAACAAGAUGGUUAAACUCAUUUUUCCCUGCUCUGCUCCUCUAAAUACAACUAAGUACCUUGGAAACUAUUCAGCAGACAAUGAUAAAGGGCUCUGAAAGCUAGAAGAAAAGGUGUACUUGCAAGAAACCUCAGGACUUGAGUAACAGCAACAUGGCAGGCCAGAAAGCAGACCCAGGGAGGAUAGCACAUGUCUUCGGCUACACUGGUGAAGGCAUCGUGCCUGCUCCACAGCACAUUUUUAUUCAAGCUCACCAAGCUCCUGUAUCUACUGGAAAAUGGAAGUCCAGCCUUACCAACUUGUGAACCUUGUCUGAAGGGAGCCAGGGCCUGCCAAUGGAACCACCUCCAGGAGCUGCAACUGCUGUUGUCAUUAAUACCAUUGUGUCUAUUUUUUGAGAGAGAUAAACUUUUCAUGGUGUUACAUUUUGGAAAAAAAAAAAAAAGACUAGGUGAACAGUCAGGUAGGAAAGCAGCAUAACAGUCCCUUAAAUUCUGAUCAUGUAGGACAUUCUUCUUUGCCCUGGGCCUGGGAAAAUGCAGCAUGUUCCAGAGCAAAAGUCCUAAUGAGGGGAACUAAACCAGUGGGACCCAAACCAAUGUCCUGGCUCACUGAGGACCCGUUAGAACCAAAUCUCUGGGUGUGGACAGGCUCCCAUACUUUUCAAAAAUUCCCCUGAUGACUAAUGAACAACCAGAGGUAAGAACCAGUGGCCCAGAGGAAUAACCAGCCCAGCUGUUGUACGAGCUCGCUAAGCUGGCUCAGGUCAAUGUUGAAUUCUCUGCUAGGCAGCUCCUCAUAAGAACUGGCAGAGAUGGUUCUUACACAACAACAGGUGACAACUCCAGACUCUGCCGGAAGUUCCAGGAUCUGGGUUCCCGGACAAUGCAUGACACUCAGUCCAGCAUUGCAGGUGGAAGAGCGACGGUGAAAAGACCAAAGUCAAUUAAAAUGUGUUAACCAAAACAGGAAACAUGAGUGAGGUGAUUGAGAGUGUGUUUAACUUAGAUGUGUGAUUUUAUCAAUACUUUCAUUGUUCAAAAACUCUUAUUUUUUAAAGAUAUUUUCAAAACAAAUCCAAACUUUACUUUUCAUUCCAAAUUCGUGUUCCGUCUAUACUUGCAUUUGGGGAAAGAUUGAAACAAAACACAAAUACUUUGUAGCAAUGUUGGAGUGUCAUGUUCUUUGCAGAGGGACAGGAAAAAAAAAGGAUUUUUUUUUCUUAUCA
Homo sapiens (human) is the source of this 1417-nucleotide long non-coding RNA. Ensembl annotates it as MIR4435-2 host gene. NCBI's taxonomy places the organism in Eukaryota, Metazoa, Chordata, Mammalia, Primates, Hominidae. The record is from Ensembl.